AACGCUGGCGGCAGGCCUAACACAUGCAAGUCGAACGAACUCUUCGGAGUUAGUGGCGGACGGGUGAGUAACACGUGGGAACGUGCCUUUAGGUUCGGAAUAACUCAGGGAAACUUGUGCUAAUACCGAAUGUGCCCUUCGGGGGAAAGAUUUAUCGCCUUUAGAGCGGCCCGCGUCUGAUUAGCUAGUUGGUGAGGUAAAGGCUCACCAAGGCGACGAUCAGUAGCUGGUCUGAGAGGAUGAUCAGCCACAUUGGGACUGAGACACGGCCCAAACUCCUACGGGAGGCAGCAGUGGGGAAUCUUGCGCAAUGGGCGAAAGCCUGACGCAGCCAUGCCGCGUGAAUGAUGAAGGUCUUAGGAUUGUAAAAUUCUUUCACCGGGGACGAUAAUGACGGUACCCGGAGAAGAAGCCCCGGCUAACUUCGUGCCAGCAGCCGCGGUAAUACGAAGGGGGCUAGCGUUGCUCGGAAUUACUGGGCGUAAAGGGAGCGUAGGCGGACAUUUAAGUCAGGGGGUGAAAUCCCGGGGCUCAACCUCGGAAUUGCCUUUGAUACUGGGUGUCUUGAGUAUGAGAGAGGUGUGUGGAACUCCGAGUGUAGAGGUGAAAUUCGUAGAUAUUCCGGAAGAACACCAGUGGCGAAGGCGAACACACUGGGCUCAUUACUGACGCCUGAGGGCUCNAAAGCGGUGGGGAGCCAAACAGGAUU
This 709-nucleotide ribosomal RNA is filed under the name Brevundimonas sp. Muzt-C6. RNAcentral's name for it is "bacterial SSU rRNA". It matches the Rfam family "Bacterial small subunit ribosomal RNA", at positions 32 to 779 of the family's 1533-position model. The record is from RNAcentral. Lineage: Bacteria; Pseudomonadati; Pseudomonadota; Alphaproteobacteria; Caulobacterales; Caulobacteraceae.